This 1012-nucleotide long non-coding RNA is filed under the name Equus asinus (donkey). Its description in RNAcentral is "lncRNA (ENSEASG00005030877.1)". Lineage: Eukaryota; Metazoa; Chordata; Mammalia; Perissodactyla; Equidae. The record is from RNAcentral.
GUUGGAGGCUGGGCUAGUGGCAAGUGUACUUGCCAUUUGAAAUGUGGCAAAGCCGUUGAUGACAGGUUACACCCUCACCUCUGCAACCUGGGCUGUCUUGCUAUCCAUUCUUUCGCUGCUUGUCUUUCACUUGUCUCCUCCAGAUCUCCCCUGCAUCAUUACUUAAAACAUUUCUAAUGGCUGGACCCUUGCUACCAACUCAAGGGAACACAUGACUCAUUUAGGGAGAUCUUCUUCUUCAGAGGAAUGAGUUCCUCAAGACUUAGAAGACAAAAUGAUUGACACCUCCAUUCCUGCAAUGACAUCUGUAUAUAAGGGGAAAACAAGAUCUGGAAAAUAAGGUCUAGAAUUCAAAGUAUAAUUUGUGAAGCUUGUUUCCAUGGGAAAAUGUGGUGUGAGGUUCAAUUAAUGUCAAGGCAUUUUUGGAACAUGAUAUACACUGCAGUUUCUAAGCAGCAGUUCAGGCCUGCUGCACUACUGCAUAAGGAGACAAGGAGGCCAAGUGGAUUUAGACAGCUUAUUAUUCAUGGCUCAGAGGACAGCAUGGACUUCACAUUUGCAUCACUUCCCUUUAUCCUCAAGUUCCGAGGGUGGUGAUAUGGGGUGGGUCCCGGCGAAUGCUGCACACACAUGGAUCCUUGUUAUACCUGAAGAACAGUGAGCUUCAGAAAACUCCAAUCUUAUAAGGAAGGAGACAGCUGGCAAAUCCAUCUCUCCCUCCAGAGACAUUAUCUUUAUCUCCCUGGAAUGUGUCAGGAGAUGAGAAGAGGUUUCCAGCUUUAUAACCCUGGAAUUUAAACAAAUCUGCCACCUGCUUAGGAACAGCUUUACAAACAUCCUUGAAUAAAGUUGUCGGUGCCUUUCGCCCAGAAGAUACUCAGAAGUGGCAGAUCCUUGGAGAAUGACCUCCUAACACUAUCUUUUUGUCACCUAUGGCUCCUUUGCAGAAACCUUACUACUGUUUUGCAGUUUUCUUUUUUUUGUAUAUUACAAAAACAAACAUUUAUUAUUU